RNAcentral lists this long non-coding RNA (386 nucleotides) under Anser brachyrhynchus (Pink-footed goose). RNAcentral's name for it is "lncRNA (ENSABRG00000004234.1)". The record is from RNAcentral. Lineage: Eukaryota; Metazoa; Chordata; Aves; Anseriformes; Anatidae.
AAUGGAGAGAAAAUUUCUUCCUGAAAAGGAAAUGGUGGUUGUGGAAGGAUGUACAAGAGUAGUUCCAGAGCUUCUUCAGACACAGAGGAGGAAACUGGGAGGCAGAAUAGCUGGUGGAAAAUGAAGAGUAUGGAGUCUUAUCUGUGGCCUUCAUUUACUUCAGAACUAUUCCAGAAGUUCUGCUGGAAGAGGGCCAGAGAAGACUGCUUCUUCUAUGGACAAUGAGGACUCAACACCUCACUGGGGCUGCUGGUGGUGGAGACCUCAGUGUGGGACACCUGAAAGAUUGGCCAGAAGUGACUUCUUAUCCCUGGGGAAUGCAGUAAAUGAGAAGAGACCCAAGAAACGAGUCCCUGUAUUAGCAGGGCAGUGCUAGGAUCUGUGCU